RNAcentral lists this ribosomal RNA (670 nucleotides) under uncultured bacterium. RNAcentral's name for it is "bacterial SSU rRNA". It matches the Rfam family "Bacterial small subunit ribosomal RNA", at positions 8 to 669 of the family's 1533-position model. The record is from RNAcentral.
AGAGUUUGAUCAUGGCUCAGGUUGAACGCUGGCGGCAGGCCUAACACAUGCAAGUCGAACGGUAGCACAGAGAGCUUGCUCUUGGGUGACGAGCGGCGGACGGGUGAGUAAUGUCUGGGAAACUGCCUGAUGGAGGGGGAUAACUACUGGAAACGGUAGCUAAUACCGCAUAACGUCGCAAGACCAAAGAGGGGGACCUUCGGGCCUCUUGCCGUCAGAUGUGCCCAGAUGGGAUUAGCUAGUAGGUGGGGUAACGGCUCACCUAGGCGACGAUCCCUAGCUGGUCUGAGAGGAUGACCAGCCACACUGGAACUGAGACACGGUCCAGACUCCUACGGGAGGCAGCAGUGGGGAAUAUUGCACAAUGGGCGCAAGCCUGAUGCAGCCAUGCCGCGUGUAUGAAGAAGGCCUUCGGGUUGUAAAGUACUUUCAGCGAGGAGGAAGGCGAUACGGUUAAUAACCGUGUCGAUUGACGUUACUCGCAGAAGAAGCACCGGCUAACUCCGUGCCAGCAGCCGCGGUAAUACGGAGGGUGCAAGCGUUAAUCGGAAUUACUGGGCGUAAAGCGCACGCAGGCGGUCUGUCAAGUCGGAUGUGAAAUCCCCGGGCUCAACCUGGGAACUGCAUUCGAAACUGGCAGGCUUGAGUCCUGUAGAGGGGGGUAGAAUUC